This 547-nucleotide ribosomal RNA is filed under the name Enterococcus faecalis. RNAcentral describes it as "bacterial SSU rRNA". It matches the Rfam family "Bacterial small subunit ribosomal RNA", at positions 127 to 660 of the family's 1533-position model. Lineage: Bacteria; Bacillati; Bacillota; Bacilli; Lactobacillales; Enterococcaceae. The record is from RNAcentral.
UACCCAUCAGAGGGGGAUAACACUUGGAAACAGGUGCUAAUACCGCAUAACAGUUUAUGCCGCAUGGCAUAAGAGUGAAAGGCGCUUUCGGGUGUCGCUGAUGGAUGGACCCGCGGUGCAUUAGCUAGUUGGUGAGGUAACGGCUCACCAAGGCCACGAUGCAUAGCCGACCUGAGAGGGUGAUCGGCCACACUGGGACUGAGACACGGCCCAGACUCCUACGGGAGGCAGCAGUAGGGAAUCUUCGGCAAUGGACGAAAGUCUGACCGAGCAACGCCGCGUGAGUGAAGAAGGUUUUCGGAUCGUAAAACUCUGUUGUUAGAGAAGAACAAGGACGUUAGUAACUGAACGUCCCCUGACGGUAUCUAACCAGAAAGCCACGGCUAACUACGUGCCAGCAGCCGCGGUAAUACGUAGGUGGCAAGCGUUGUCCGGAUUUAUUGGGCGUAAAGCGAGCGCAGGCGGUUUCUUAAGUCUGAUGUGAAAGCCCCCGGCUCAACCGGGGAGGGUCAUUGGAAACUGGGAGACUUGAGUGCAGAAGAGGAGA